Molecule: ribosomal RNA, 253 nt
Filed under: uncultured bacterium
Lineage: Bacteria
Description: partial 16S ribosomal RNA
Rfam family: Bacterial small subunit ribosomal RNA
Source: RNAcentral
UACAGAGGUCCCGAGCGUUGUUCGGAUUCAUUGGGCGUAAAGGGUGCGUAGGCGGCAUGGCAAGUCGGGUGUGAAAUCCCGGGGCUCAACCCCGGAACUGCACUCGAUACUGCCGUGCUUGAGUGUUGGAGAGGAGACUGGAAUUCAUGGUGUAGCAGUGAAAUGCGUAGAGAUCAUGAGGAAGACCAGUGGCGAAGGCGGGUCUCUGGACAGUUCCUGACACUGAGGCACGAAGGCCAGGGGAGCAAACGGG